CCUACGGGUGGCAGCAGUGGGGAAUUUUGGACAAUGGGCGCAAGCCUGAUCCAGCCAUUCCGCGUGCAGGAUGAAGGCCCUCGGGUUGUAAACUGCUUUUUCACGAGUCGCGGUACCGUAAGAAUAAGCACCGGCUAACUACGUGCCAGCAGCCGCGGUAAUACGUAGGGUGCAAGCGUUAAUAGGAAUUACUGGGCGUAAAGCGUGCGCAGGCGGUGAGGUAAGACAGGUGUGAAAUCCCCGGGCUUAACCUGGGAACUGCAUUUGUGACUGCAUCGCUGGAGUGCGGCAGAGGGGGAUGGAAUUCCGCGUGUAGCAGUGAAAUGCGUAGAUAUGCGGAGGAACACCGAUGGCGAAGGCAAUCCCCUGGGCCUGACUGACGCUCAUGCACGAAAGCGUGGGGAGCAAACAGGAUUAGAUACCCUAGUAGUC
This 432-nucleotide ribosomal RNA is filed under the name uncultured bacterium. RNAcentral describes it as "partial 16S ribosomal RNA". It matches the Rfam family "Bacterial small subunit ribosomal RNA", at positions 338 to 795 of the family's 1533-position model. The record is from RNAcentral.